CCUACGGGUGGCAGCAGUGGGGAAUAUUGGACAAUGGGCGAAAGCCUGAUCCAGCCAUGCCGCGUGUGUGAAGAAGGCCUUCGGGUUGUAAAGCACUUUCAGUGGGGAAGAAAGCCUUGGGGCUAAUACCCUCGAGGAAGGACAUCACCCACAGAAGAAGCACCGGCUAACUCCGUGCCAGCAGCCGCGGUAAUACGGAGGAUGCGAGCGUUAAUCGGAAUUACUGGGCGUAAAGCGCGCGUAGGCGGUCUGAUAAGCCGGUUGUGAAAGCCCCGGGCUCAACCUGGGAACGGCAUCCGGAACUGUCAGGCUAGAGUGCAGGAGAGGAAGGUAGAAUUCCCGGUGUAGCGGUGAAAUGCGUAGAGAUCGGGAGGAAUACCAGUGGCGAAGGCGGCCUUCUGGACUGACACUGACGCUGAGGUGCGAAAGCGUGGGUAGCAAACAGGAUUAGAUACCCCAGUAGUC
RNAcentral lists this ribosomal RNA (465 nucleotides) under Vreelandella stevensii. Its description in RNAcentral is "partial 16S ribosomal RNA". It matches the Rfam family "Bacterial small subunit ribosomal RNA", at positions 338 to 795 of the family's 1533-position model. The record is from RNAcentral. Lineage: Bacteria; Pseudomonadati; Pseudomonadota; Gammaproteobacteria; Oceanospirillales; Halomonadaceae.